UGGUGAAAUAUUUAAUUUAUUGGUAAUCUAUUACUAUUUUCACUUUUUUAGGCUAUAAAAGGUUGGAUUUAAAUCAGGAUUAGAUACCCUGUUAUACCACUCUAAUAAAUUUUUGCUUGAUUAGUAAUCAGUUAUGUUCUUGAAACUUAAAGGAUUUGGCGGUACUCAAGUCUAGUUAGGGGAACCUGCUCUAUAAACGAUAUGCCACGUAUUAUCUUUCUUCCUUUUGUUUUUCGGUCUGUAUACCGCCAUUAUUAGGUGAUUUUGAUAAAUAUAUACUGAAAUAGGGGUACUCCUAAAAUAUUAGGUCAAGGUGCAGCUUAUAGGGAAGUUGAAGUGGGUUACAUUUUAAUUUAUAAGGUCGAAUAUUUUAUUUAUAGCAUUUUUGAAGAUGGACUUAAUUGUAAUUAUGUUUUAACAUGGCAUUAUGAUAUUAGCUCUAGGGUAUGUACACAUCGCCCGUCGCUCUCAUUAAUUAAAGU
This 482-nucleotide ribosomal RNA is filed under the name Gnathophyllum americanum. RNAcentral's name for it is "partial small subunit ribosomal RNA". Lineage: Eukaryota; Metazoa; Arthropoda; Malacostraca; Decapoda; Palaemonidae. The record is from RNAcentral.